This 484-nucleotide ribosomal RNA is filed under the name uncultured bacterium. RNAcentral describes it as "partial 16S ribosomal RNA". It matches the Rfam family "Bacterial small subunit ribosomal RNA", at positions 30 to 507 of the family's 1533-position model. The record is from RNAcentral.
AUUGAACGCUGGCGGCAGGCCUAACACAUGCAAGUCGAGCGGAUGAAGGGAGCUUGCUCCUGGAUUCAGCGGCGGACGGGUGAGUAAUGCCUAGGAAUCUGCCUGGUAGUGGGGGAUAACGUCCGGAAACGGGCGCUAAUACCGCAUACGUCCUGAGGGAGAAAGUGGGGGAUCUUCGGACCUCACGCUAUCAGAUGAGCCUAGGUCGGAUUAGCUAGUUGGUGGGGUAAAGGCCUACCAAGGCGACGAUCCGUAACUGGUCUGAGAGGAUGAUCAGUCACACUGGAACUGAGACACGGUCCAGACUCCUACGGGAGGCAGCAGUGGGGAAUAUUGGACAAUGGGCGAAAGCCGGAUCCAGCCAUGCCGCGUGUGUGAAGAAGUUCUUCGGAUUGUAAAGCACUUUAAGUUGGGAGGAAGGGCAGUAAGUUAAUACCUUGCUGUUUUGACGUUACCAACAGAAUAAGCACCGGCUAACUUCGUG